GACGAACGCUGGCGGCGUGCUUAACACAUGCAAGUCGAGCGGUAAGGUCCUUUCGGGGGUACACGAGCGGCGAACGGGUGAGUAACACGUGGGUGACCUGCCCUCAGCUCUGGGAUAAGCCUGGGAAACCGGGUCUAAUACUGGAUAUGACUCCAUGACGCAUGUUGUGGGGUGGAAAGCCUUGUGCGGCUGAGGAUGGGCCCGCGGCCUAUCAGCUUGUUGGUGGGGUGANGGCCUACCAAGGCGACGACGGGUAGCCGGCCUGAGAGGGCGACCGGCCACACUGGGACUGAGACACGGCCCAGACUCCUACGGGAGGCAGCGGUGGGGAAUCUUGCGCAAUGGGCGAAAGCCUGACGCAGCGACGCCGCGUGAGGGAUGACGGCCU
This 388-nucleotide ribosomal RNA is filed under the name uncultured bacterium. RNAcentral's name for it is "bacterial SSU rRNA". It matches the Rfam family "Bacterial small subunit ribosomal RNA", at positions 28 to 417 of the family's 1533-position model. The record is from RNAcentral.